AUCGUUAUUUAUCCUCUAUGUAAAUUGUAUUUAAAGCAAAGUAUGAAAAAUUUUAAACUCACUUUCAACUAUCAAUUCUGCCUUGAAUUGGAUACAUGAAUCACGGAUUCAAAUGAUGUUAUAUUAAUUUAUGGAACAGAGAAUAAUUAUUUACAAUAUAAAUUUACUAUUAAUUUUAAGAUUGACAAACAUGACUUGAACUUUAGCCCACUUUUGCUUGGUAGCUGAAAACAUUUAUCUUUUAAAUUGACAAUUAUUUUAAAAAUUGAGUCACAUGGCACCUCACUUAGAAUGAUAACCGACAUAAUGUGAAAAGCUCUCUCUUUACGUCUUCCAUGGAUAUUGACCACAAUCCUCAACAACCGUCUCCCCUACACUCUGUAAAUUCAACCUUUGUAACCCCAACUUUCACAUACAAAGUGCUUCAAAAUGACCUCUUCCCAAACUUCAUGGGCUCUUCGGUGACGGACGGCCUUCAAGAUGAGGUCACCCCGUAAAAUUUUGAAGGUAAUUUUAUUCCACUAUCAGUGGAUGAUAAAUCACGGCUUUACUCACUUUGGCAGAAGUCCUUGAUUGUUAAGAUGGUGGGUCAAAAAUUGGGCUACUUAGUCUAAAGAAAAAGUUACAGGAAUUAUGGAAACCUUUCGAAGAAUUAAAUUUGAUCGAUUUGGGUUCCAAAUUCUUUCGGAUUAAAUUCACUCUGUUGCAAAACAUUCUACACGCUCUUCAGGACGGGCCAUGGUUCAUCUUCAACAGCUUUGUAUCUGUACAAAAGUGGGAACCAAAAUUUAUCGCUUCACAAGCUCGGCUUACUCACACUGCAAUUUGGAUCCGUUUACCCGAACUACUUACGGAGUUUUACGACAUAUAUGUCCUUUAUAAGGUUGGUGUAAGGAUUGGGAAGUUGCUCAAGAUAGACACUUGCACUUCAACAACUUCUCGAGGUAGAUAUGCGCAUUUGUGUGUACAAGCUCCUCUGGAACAACCACUAUUACAUCAUCUAUACAUAGGAUCUCAUAAAUAAGUGAUUUGAUACUAAGCGGCUUCCUUACUGUGUAUUGACUAUGGACGACUUGGACAUACUACUCGUUGUCCAUAUAAAAUACCUUUGCUCGAACACUCACAUUCGGAUGAUAAGUAUAGUGGUGAAUCAUUGCAAUUUUUUGAGACUAUGAAAGAACAAAAAUAAAGGGAAGAAGAAGAUGAAGGCUGGCAGCUUGUUAGGUUCCCGUUCAGAUAGCAGCGCUGUUCAUCCGACAAAGGAAAGCAAAUUGUUCAACAGCCAGGUAAAGGCCCUUCUGGGCUAAUUCGGGUCAAUGAUCCCACUUUAGAAGGCACCUUUGCUAGGCCUUUCCUAAAAAAAAACUUGUAGGUAAAAGGCCUACAUAAUUUCUCCAUUCCUAAAGGCCCAGGUAAGUCUCAAACCUCUAAUUUAUUUAAUUACCCAAAUGGCUCCUUUACUGAUAAUGGAAAACUAGUACAUUUUAAUGUAGGGCCCACUGACUUUCCUGAUUUAAAAUUUCCUGCUCCUAAUAUUCAUAAUUCUCAACCUCUUAAUUUUGUUUUCACCAAUGGCACGAGGCCAACCCUUUCUCAAAUUUUGGCUCCAAUUUUGGCUAUUAGGGCCCAUGUGGAUACCGUGCAUGACAAUUUAAUCUCUACUCACGUAAGUACUUCUGAUAAUUCUCCUGAAGUUUACCAUUUAAAUGAUUACUCUUCAUAUGAGAAUAAUGAUCUAUUAACUGUUCAGCUAUCACCUUCUCCAACUCUCAUUGCUCAAUUACACAUUUCUGAACCUCUCCGUAGUAGCACUACCACUAUAAAUAAAUCACUCUCAAAUCUGCCGAGUCAAGGGUUUGCAUAUCCAUCAUAGUCCUCUAUAUCCACUACAACAAAUUUACCAAUACUCCCUACUGAUGGAAUAAGGGAACGACCGCUACCCCUACAAAAUAUGUACCUCAAUGAAUCUGAUCCCUCUUUACCCUCCGCAAUCAUGGCUGGAGGUGGCUUUAACGGGUCAGGCCCUCUCCUUUACCAUGAAAGUGAAUGAACAAGAAUGUCGUGUUCUGAUUCAAAACCCUCAGGAUCUAGCCCAAAUCAUAACGAAGGGAAUAGCGUGAGAAACGAAAGUGUUCAACGAUCCACCAGCUAUGAGUCAAUCCCUUUUGAAACUUCCAUUAUACCCACUGCCACAGGGGAAGGGUUCAGUGCCAUGGAUUCAGCCUCACAUGAUGGUAGUUGCGAUGGAUCCCAAAGCCCAAGUCCUUCCUGUGACUAUGAACUCUAUUCUACCACCGAAAGCUUCAAAUAUGGAAGAAGGAGGGAUGGAAAUAACAUCCACCUUUUUGGAUCAGGUACGGGUCUUUCUACUCAAAGAACUGUGUGAAAAAAAAUAAGCGUAAAAUAUCCCAAAAAUAUGGUCAAGUGCUCGGUUAAUGUACGACCGAAUCUCAAUCCCGACGUGGGGAAAUAUGCUAUCAUCAUGAGUCCUAAUCUGAGGGACACUGACUUUUUAGAAGCUUCUCCCCAAAGGCCUCUUACUUUUACUCGCCCAAUGAAUUUUUUGAUCUAGAAUUGUAGAGGUUCUACUUCCCCUGACUUUAAAAAUCACUUCAAGGAUCUUCUUGAUUUGUAUAAUCCUUCUUUGGUAGACCUGUUAGAAACCCAUAGGAUGAACCAUCAGACUAUGCCCAACAAAUUUCGUUUCUCAAAUGUCACUGCUAUCCUGGCCUUAGGACAAGUAGGGGGGAUUGCUAUCUUGUGGAAAGUAGACCUUUUGAAUGUUAUGGAAGUCACUAUGUCUCAUCAAGAUAUUCACUGUAGAGUUCAGGUAAUCCCUUCCCCAAAUAAAUGGUUAUUUACUGCUAUUUAUGCUUAUAGUAAUAAAAUGAUCGAAUGAUUCUUUGGGAUAAUCUAAAAUAUGUAGCUGACUCCGUUGCGGGACCUUGGUUAAUAGGUGGUGACUUUAAUGAAAUUUGUAAUUCUAGAAAAAAAUUUGGUGGCUUACAUUCCCAUGUACUGAUCGUAUACCCGUUUCUUGCGCUAUGAUGUUUCAUAUCAUAGGUUCGAACACUCAGGUUCCUGACCACGCUUAGCCAGAUUCAGCCAGCAGUAGCAGAUUUAGCAGUGAGUCAUCAUCUAUUGAGGAUAUGCUUUUAUUUCAGUACUUCAGCUUAGCAGUAUUUUAGUAGAUGGAGUUAGUUGAGGGAUUAUCCCAUUAACUCUAUUUUCAGACAAAUUCAGUUAGAGGCUUUUCAGACUAGAUUUUUAGAUAGUAUUCAGUUUUAUAGAUGUUAUAUUUUAUCAGUAUUUUAGAUGUUUUGAACCUUAUGGCAUUUCAUCCCUUUAUUCCGCAUUUAUUUCAGUAUUAUGGUUCAGUGCUCACAAAAGAUAUCAUUCAUAGGUUAGCUUAAGGUCCUUCGGGGUCGCAAGCAUCGUGUGACGACUAGGGGGUAGUCUCGGGUCAUUACAAGGACAAAUAAAAAGAAUCAAGCAGUACUGAUAUAAAAGACCUCGAGAAUUUUGAAGUCACCAAGUAGAAACAUGAGAUAAUCUAGAAUAAUGCACGAGCUUUAAGUUUACUUCUUUUUGCAGUAAGCGGAGAAGAUAUGACAAAAUAUCAACUUAUGAGACCACAAAACAGAUAUGGGAUAAAUUAAAGGUGACUUAUAAAGGAACCACCAAAGUCAAGAAGUCAAAUAUUGCUGCCCUAGUGAAUGAAUAUGAGUUGCUUAAGAUGCAAUAAAAUGAGAAAAUCGAAUCAAUGUUUUCUAGAUUUAGCAAAAUUGUAUGCGAACUAAAAUCAUUAGGGAUUAUCUAUCCAUACAGCCUACUAGUCCAGAAGCUGAUUAGUAGCCUCCCUAAAGUAUGGGAAACUAAAGCUACCAUUUUGGAAGAUGGAUGCCUUCACAACAAGACAUAUGAUGAGUUACAAGGUAAUGUUAUUGUAUACGAAUGAAAUUAUAUCAACAGGUACAACAAGAAAAAAAAUAGAACCAAGUAGCCUUCAAUGUCGUACCAACUGAAGAGAAAGAUCUUCUGAAAGAAUCUAAUAGCAAAGGAAUGGCUUUUAUAAACCGAGGAGUAAGGAAAAUAUGAAAUAUAGACAACAGAGAUCCCAAAGAUUUAGAAACAAUGAUUCUACAAAAACUAAUGAUCACUGCUAUCAUUGUGGAAGGAUAGACCACUUUAAACAAAAUUGUCUAGAAUUAAGAAGAAGAUCAUCUAAACAAAUAAAAAAUUUGGCUCCUGGAGUGAUGAAGAUUAAAUUGAAGAAGAAAUAGAAGCAACCAACAUGUGCUUUAUGGCAAAAGUUGAAUCAAGCGAGGUAAGACCACAUGACUAUCAUAAUUAAAAUAUUCUUAAAUCUAAUUUAGAUAUGAUAAUUGAUGAGAUUCAAAUAGUUAUAGAUGAAUACAAUAAACUUGAUAAAAGAAAAAAAAUUGGGAAGCUUUACUUAAACAAAAGAUUGUAGGGGAACGAAGAAACUGCCAGGUUGAAAUUGAAGCAGGUAAAAUCGUAGUCGAUUUACUUCAAGAAGAGCUUGAUGUUGUAAAAAUUCAAUUGAGUAGCAUUAAAAAACACCAAUCCAAAAUUUUGUAAGAUAAAAUUCAGUUAAAACCAACUCAAGUUCCUCAGCAAGAUCGUUUAAAUCAUCUAAGACCUCUUUCUCUUUUCAAAGAAUUAUUCGCUAUACCUGUGGACAUAAAGGGCAUAAAUCAUACAACUCCAGGCAAAAUCUUAAAGGUGUAUGGGUUUGGAGGCCUAAAGAAAGUAUAUAUCGCAAGGAUCCAAGAGCACUUAGGUACCUAAGCAAAAUUGAUUUUCUUAUUUUCCAGGAACAUGUCUGCAAAAGCUAUAAAAAGGAAAUAUGGGUCACUGAUAGUGGAUGUUCUAGAAAUAUGAUAAAAAAGAAGUACAAUUUUAUUCUAUAAAGAAAAUAGAAGGAGGAUUAGUCAGAUUUGGUGAUAAUGCUAAGGGCAACCUUAUCCUAGUUGACUUAGUAAAUCUCAACUGAUCAUGUGAACUUAUUGAAGUAUAUAUUUUAAACGGACUAAAAAACAACCUACUCAGCAUCAGUCAGCUGUGUGGCACAGGAUUUAGAGUCUCCUUUAAAGCUGAAAGCUGCUCCAUCAAACAUGACAAAUGAGACAUUUCUUUUAUCGGUGAACAUAUUGAGAAUAUUUGAGUUUUAAAUAGUCCUAAUUUUGCUACCCUUACCUACCUCACUGUCCAAACUAAUGAUGCUUGUUUAUGGCAUAAAAAGCUUACGCAUGCUAGUAUGUACAUAAUUGAGAAACUCUCAAGAUUAGAAUUGGUGAAAAGUUCACCAAAACUCAAGUUUUAGAAGGAUCACAUUUGUGAUGCCUUCCAAAAACAUACUCGAACAUCAUUAAAAUUCAAAGAUAUUAUCUCAACUACAAAACCCCUUAAAAUAAUCAACGUGGAUUUGUUUGGCACCACCAAGGUCGCAAGUAUAGGUGUGAAAAGCUAUGUUUUUUGUUAUUGUUGAUGAUUAUUCUCAUUUUACCAGUGUAAUGUUUCCCUCUUAUAAGCAUGAGGCUUUCACAAAUUUUGAGAUUUAUUGUAGAAAAGUACAAAGAGAAGCAGGACAUUUCAUCACCUAUGUACAUAAUGACCAUGUAGGAGAAUUUAAGAACAAGGUUUUCAAGGAAUACUAUGCUCAGAAUGGAUACUCUCAAAACUUCUCAUCACCUCAAUCUCCCUAAUAAAAUGGUGUGGUAGAACUAAAGAAUUGUUCCUUUCAAGAGACUGCAUGAACCAUACUACUAGAACACAACCUUCCAGAUCACUUUUGGGCAAAGGCAGUAAGCACAAUAUGCCAUAUCAUCAACAGAUGCCUCAUUAGACCCAUUCUAAAGAACAUGCCUUAUAAGCUGUAGAGAGAAAAAAGCCAAACAUUAGCUACUUUCAUCUUUUUGGAUAUAAGUGUUUCAUCCACAACAACGGUAAGAAUAACUUAGAAAAAUUUGAUCCAUGAAGUGACAAAGGUAUUUUUCUUGGGUACUCUCCCACCGUCGCGCUUGCAUGUCUUAUAAUAAAAGAACGUUAUGUGUUAAAGAAUAUAUGAAUAAUGUAUUUGAUGAAACUAAUUACCCUUAUAUGAGUUUAAGUAUUGAUGAAGAAUAGGUGAGUAAUCCAUAAUCUAAAGCUAAUGCUAGCAUUGCUCCCAAUCUAUCACAAGGAAAGUCGACUACAUCCCUUUCGGAGUUGAAUCCCAAAGUUGAGAUAGUCAAAACAACUAUUCCAAGAUAAUGGAAACACAAUUCUAGGUAUCCAAAUAUGUUUAUCAUCAAAUAUCGAGAUGACAAGAUGCAGAAAAGAGCCUCAUUGAGAAAGCAAGAAUCUGUUGCCCUUGUAUCUCAAAUCAAACCAAAAAAGAUUGAUGAGGCCCUCAAAGAUGACUCCUAGGUUGAGGUUAUAAAGGAAGAAUUGGGAAAAUUUAAACAAAAUCUAGUCUAGACUCUUGUUGAAAUACUCAAGAACUUAUCAGUAAUUGGAACUAAGCGGGUCUACAAGAAAAAAUUAAACAAAGAAGGUAAGGUUAAUAGAAACAAGGCCAAACUUUUAGCUCAAGGUUACUCCCAACAAGAAGGUAUUGAUUAUGAUAAAACUUUUUCUCCUAUAGCAAGGUUUGAAUAAAUUCACAUUUUGCUAGCGGUUGCUACCUUUAAAUACUUUAAGUGGUAUCAAAUGGACGUCAAAAGUGCCUUUAUAAAUGGAUUCAUUCUUGAAGAAGUAUUUGUAAGGAAACCCCCUAUAAUUGAAAAUCCAUCCUAUCCAAAUCAUGUUUUGAAAUUAUCAAAAGCACUUGAUGGUCUCAAACAUGCUCCAAAGGCCUGGUAUGAGAGGUUGAGUACUUUUUUUUAAUUAAUAAUUUCCAAAGAGAAAAAAAUUAUUCAACUUUAUUCAUACAAAAGCUUGACUCAAAUGUUCUUAUGUGCAAAUUUAUGCUGAUGCUCUUAUUUUCAGUAGUUCUAACAUCUCCUUGUGUGAGAAUUUUUCUAAUCUGAUGAAAGGAGAAUUUUAAGUGAGCCUUAUGGGUGAGCUAACAUUUUUUUUUGGGAUUGUAAAUCAAGCAAACACCCAAAGGUGCCUUCAUUAGUCAAGCCAAAUACACAAAAGAGCUUAUCAAAAAGUUUGGUAUGGAAAAAAGAAAGUCCUAUGGAACCCCAAUGAGUCCAUCCACAAGUAUUUAUUCAGACUUAUCUCGUAAAGAUAUUGAUGAAAAUAAGUAUAGGGGAAUGAUUGGAUCACUUCUUUACUUGACCACCUAUUGACCAGACAUUAUGUUCAGUGUAUGCAAAUGUACAAAGUUCCAGUCAACUCUCAAAGAGUCCCAUCUGAUUGCAGUCAAAAGAAUAAUUCAGUAUCUCAUCGGAUCAAACACUAGACUAUGGUAUCCCUACUCUUCUCAUUUUGUAUUAAUUAAAUAUUUAGACGUUGACUUUGCAGGUGAUAAAAAUGAUAGAAAAAUCACUAGUGGAACAUGCCAAAUUCUUGGUGAUGCUCUAAUUUCAUGGCAUAGCAAAAAACAAACUUUAGUUUUCUAUCAACAACUGAAGAUGAAUACAUAGCAGUAGGAAGCUGUGGUGCUCAAAUUUUAUGGAUUAUAUAUCAACUACUUGAUUUUAAUUUUUCUUUUGAAUCUAUACCUAUAAUGUGUGAUAAUAUCAGUGCUAUUAGACUGUCUAAAUAUAUUGUGCAUCAUUCCAGGGCUAAGCACAUUGAUAUUAAACAUCAUUUUAUUCAAGAUCAUGUAGAAAGUGGUGAUUUUUUUUCUGAGCUUUGUUGAUUCUAAAAAUCAAUUAGUAGAUAUUUUUACCAAACCCCUAUUAAAAGAAAGAUAUUGUUUCCUUAGAAAAAGACUUGGUAUUAUUAGUAUUAAUGACAUGAGUUUUAUCUUUGGAAAUUCUUUAUUUUUUUACUGCUUUACUUUCAAAGUUUUGAAAAUUGGUUUUAAAAAUAAAGGGAGUGUCAUCAUUACUUUCACCGCUUCAUACGCCACCCCUGCCUCCACUAUAAAUUCUUACCUUCCCAAUAUCCCCCUCUACUAUCCUUUAACUUACAUCAGUUAUCUCAUUCUCUUUACCCCUUUUCAUCUUUCUUUAGUUUAGUCCUCCUUUCAUCUUUCCAUCCUUUCAUCUUCCCCUUCACUCCUUUAAAACUCCCAUUCAAACUCUUAAUCGAUGAACAGAACUCAUAUAAUGGUCAUUCUUUCCACAUACCUUCCCAAACCUCUCUCUGAUAAUCAUGUUCUUCACUCUAACUCCUCUUAAGAAUCUUUUUCCGAUUCAUAAUAGUCAACUAUAAUAAAAUAAUGUCCAGCCCCAGCCCAUACUCUCCAGUCAAGAAACCUCAUCCCAACACCGAGGACAUGAACAAGUUAUGUACAUACUCACAAAAGAAAUUUUUCUCAGCCUUUAAAAGUUUCUCUAUUAUACACGGUCGGGUAAUCAAUCUCUGCCAAUUAAAGGAAGCCCAUUGCACUAUCAGUCACUUCUUAAAAUUUCAAGACUUUUCAUAAGUUUUUAGUCUAUGUUGACUUGAAGCCUAUAAGGAUCCUAUUCAAAUAUUUUAUGAAAAUCUCCAUCUCUCUCUUGACAGCGAUAAACUUGAGACUCUUGUACUUGGCACAAGAAUCAUACAGAAUGACUUUCUAUUUGAAAAGGUAUUUUAUACAGAGUUUUUUGGUGCAAUCCCCAUUAGGAAUGGCUCCUGUACUGAGAAUUUUAAAAUUAGAUUUGAAGAAGAUAAAAAAGAUCUUGUUCGACCCAGACACAACGUUUGUUAGUUUGGUCCCUUGUUUUCAUGAUUUAAGAACUACAUCAUGGCCAACAUCAUCGCCAUCACACUGAUUCCAAGGAAGCUAUCCCUCAGCAACGUUACUUUCCAUGAUGUGUUCUUCCUAUUUUUAUUGGUGAAAAGGCAAAAGAUAAAUUAGGCUACUUGGAUCUGUAAAUAUAUGCUUGAGAGUACAGCGGAAGUUCAUCCUUUCUCCAGUCUACCAUAUGAAUUGUUAAUUACUCUAAUUCUUCUAUACUACUCUAUUGACCUCUCUCAUACCCCCCGAUUAACAUCUCCACUACGUAUGACUCCAAAACUUUUUCCAGCAUGGGAUUAUUCUUGGUAGAAAAUGAAUGGUGCAAGGAUGACUUUGCCUGAGCAAAAUCUAAUAUCCCUAAUUUAUGCAAGUUUGUUUCUAACCCCAUACUCCUUGUAUUGAAGAAACUGGAGGACCUUAAGGACCACUUCAAAACUAUUGAUGAAGGAGUAAUGCUACUUCAGGAGUCAACUUCCAAGGUGCUAGAUAUUGGGAAGAGCACAAGCACAGAUAUAGGCACUGUCUGGAUGACACUUGUCGACUUUAAACAAGAAGGCAUAAAAUUGUUCUCUAGAGUGUUUACUCGUAUGGACUCCUUCAAGUUUCAAUUUAACUCCUCUAAUGAAGAUCUUACGAUAUCCUUCAAAAACUCCUACUCCUUAUUCUUUACAAAUGUUGAAAAAUCUUAUGAAAAAUUCUGCCAUAACAUGUACAACACCCUCACAUAUUUCCUAGCCAAGCGGUGAAUGAUGACUUUUAUUCAGAAGGGGGUCCUAUCCCAUUUUUUGGGUUGUAAAAUGAUUUUUACACACUGUUUGCUACACUUUCAACUGCUUUGUUUAAAUCCUUUGGUAAUCACUUAGACUGCUUAUUUAAUCUAUGUCUACCAUUUUGUCUGUCUAUUGUUGUGUUCUUUUUUACUAUGCCAAAAAGAGGAGAAAGCAACAUCAGAGGUGCCUACAAGUCAUGGGGAGAAAGUUGACUAUCAAAGGAUGAGAGUCAACUGAUCGUGCCUGUAAGACAGGGAGAUCAAGUCAACCAUCAAAAGAUAAGAGUCAACUGAUGCUCAAAGAAAAUAAAAAACAUUGAAGGCACUGAAGAUACCUCUACUUUUCCUGAGUAGAGUUAGGUGGAUCAGCUUGGUUUGUUUGUUCAUUAUGGUGAAGUGCUUUUUGGUGCAUAUCCGAGCACUAUCUAUCGUCGUUGACCAUUGUUCAUGCAAAGUUAAUCUUUCGGAGAUAGGGUGAGCUCUUAGAGUUUUGAGUCGUCCAUUUGUACUCUAUCUUAUUUUUAUUUAGUUUUUGUAUCGAGACAGGUGUAUUAACUAUAUUCUAAGACUUUUGGGUUGUAUUAAUAACAUUAGGUACUCUUGCACUAGCUCUACCAGGUCAUGGGAUUGGCAUGAUUGUUUUUAUAUUUUAGAACACUUUAUUUAUUUAUAACUUGUGUUCAUUGAAUUUAGCCUAUAAUGGGAAUUCCUUACCAAAUUAACCCAUUUAUUUAGCUCUGGGUUAUGGUAUUGGCUCACCUACUAGUAGGAUUUAGUAGGUGUCAUCAUGGAUCCUAAAUUGGGUUAUGACAUAUAUAAAUGGCCGGGUUAGAAUUUAGAUCAAGAACGGACACGCAAGGCCUACAUAUGAAAUCCAGAAUUAAAUCCAUCAUGAAGACCCUCAAAAGACAAGGAAUGUAUGCUAAAAAAUUGAGCACACAUGGUGCAUAAAUCAUGGCCCAAAUCAGCCCUUAAAGUCUAGGAAUUUGAAGACAUAAUUUCUAAGAAUAUAUAAUUAAAUGGGAUGAAAAUUGAUAGGGAAAAUAACUGGAUAUGACCAAGGAGUGUUAGGCUAACUUACCUUAGUUUUAAUUGAUGAUUGCCCACUCUUUCCAUCUCUUUAAGCUACAAAAAUGGUGGGAAAAUGUUGGGAAAUUAGAUGAAUAAAGGGGAUUUAACAAUCCCUAGGUGCCGCUACAGCGGUCACUUGUCCGCUUAAGCAGAAACCACUUAAGCGGAACAAGUCCUCUAAAAUGGUUAGUCCAUGGAACCCAGGCAUCGCUAAACUAGUUUCAUAGACUCUAAAGCAAUGUUUGCUUAAGUGAUCCUUGACCGCUAAAGUGAACCUCAACCAACUGGCCAAACCGCUAAAAUGUAUAAGGCUCGCUAAGAAAACUACCACUCAUGAGGCUAAAGGUUCGCUUAAGCGGUUGCACCAGACUAUGUCGGGCACUAGAUUUUGCUAAGUCUAAAAUGGGCUCUAAUUGGGUGCUCGAGAUUCAUUUGGAACCCUAAAACUUUGAUAUUCUGGACUCAAUGGAACCCUUGAAACUUUAAUCCAAGAUCGUUUUGACUAAAUGCGGUGCCUACUCCUAUAGUUCUAUUUUCAUAAAAUCCACCUAAUAGCCCAAAAUUAGUCCAAAAGCUAUAUGAAUUGAACCAAAAGUCCCCCUAGCCUAAAAUCAAUGUUGCAGAUCUGAUAGAACUAUUAGAAUUCUCAUUCAAGGUUGUUUACUAGGAUUUUUCAUUCAAGACCAAAUUCUUAACAUCGAAAGCUCUAAAAUAGGAAUGAGCCUAAAACCCAAAUGAACUAUCUAAUAAUCAAACUAACAUUUUUGGCAUGGCAUAUAUGACCUGCAGCUACUGUAGGAAGGCUUGAAAGGACAAAAAUGUGUAUAAUCAAGGAAAUGACCAGGAGGGUCAUUAUAGGUCCCAAGCCUUUAUAUUUUGUUUUCAAUGUUUAGACGAAAAUUAGCUAAAAUAGCCUAAUAGAGAUCUUGGGAGAAAAAUUAUUUGAAAUGACAUUUUUCCUUAAAAUUUUUUAAUCCAUUAUAUUCGUAACAUGUUUUAUGAUCAAUUUGAACUAUUGGUCAUGUUCAUAGUGUUUCAGAUGUGUAUCGAGGGUCCAAAAAAGUUUCAAAAGUUGUUCAUGUUGGUGUUGCCGCUUAAGCGGCUAUUGACUAUUUAAAUGGGUCUCUUAAGCAACCAUUUGGGUUCUUAAGCGGUAUUUUGACCCUUUAACCACUUACUUAAUAGAAAAAAGUGUCACUUAAGCAACCAUCGCUGAGUAUAAGACCUAAAUUGAAUCUGUUUUGUAUUUUUGGUAUUUUAGGAGCUACACAAUUUUGUUUUUAAUGAUUCUCGAUAUGUUUUUCUCAUAUAAUGAUGGUCUAUGUGAUUAUAACAUCAUAUUCUCAUUUUCCAAGAGUAGACAUUUAUUUUUUUCAUAAUUUUGAACUUAAAUAGUGAUUCAAAAUCCCUUUUCUGCCAUUGUUGGAGCUUGAAACAUCGAAAAUUGUGCAAAAUUAUUCAUUAAUGCUAAGGUAAAAUAAUUCCAAACCUCUUGAUCAUUUUCUGUUAUAUUUCCCCAUCAAAUUGUUAACUUUGGGGGCUGAUUUGUUCCUUAAUUUGAGCUCCAUUUGGAGCAUACAUUCCUUAUCCUUCGAGGAGCCUCGUGAUAAAUUCAAUUUUAUUGCAUUUGCGGGCCCUGUGGAAUCGUUCUUAACUCAAUUUUGACCUGAAUAUUUUUAUAGAAAUAUAGGUAUUAUUUAAUUUCUAUGAUGUGUAAAUUAUUAUUUUGACAGUGUGGUAGUAUUUGAAGAUCAUGGAUUAAAGACGAACGAUUUAUGGAUAAUUCAAGAAUUACGAUUCAACAUCGAUAUAGGGUUUAGUCUAUUUUUCUCUAGGAGAUUAUAUAUAGUAUGGAUUUCAUGAUAUGUAAGGAGUAUAGGAUAUGUUUAUGACUAGUACAUCAUGACUUAGCCUAUUUAGAAAAUUUGGGACUCGAAAGGUGACACGACCCUCAGGAUGAAAUACUUUUUAUGGAUAUAGGACCCUUUUACCCUUAACUAAAAUCAUGUUAACCAUAGUUUGAUAUUAAUGAUUCCAUAGUAUAUGAUUUAUCAUUUGACGUAGUGAUUGAGAUGUGAUUCUAGUAUAUAGAUUCUUAGGCACUAAUUGUUAUAUUAUUUGCAUACUGGUAAUGGCAUGCAGAAUUUUAGGCACAUGCAUGGUCACUUAGUAUUAUGUUUCCAACCAAAACCACGAUUUUACUAUUAUUUUUAGAAAAGGAGUUUACUUUCACUUUUUAGUUUUAGAAUAGAUUCUUUAAUAAUGGGAAUUAUACAGCCUUAUUUAAUGAUUUAUAAGUUUAACCUAGAUAUGAUAUUUUGGGAAUUAUAAAAAUAUUGAUUUUGGUUCGUUGUUUAUCCACUCUUUUACCACUACUAUUUAGUUCAAUCGAGAGAGAUUUUGUCCUUUUCUAAGUUAUUUUGCUGAUUUAGUGUCACGACCCUAGACUACCCCCUAGUCAUAACAUGGUGCUUGGAACCACAAGUGAUCCCAAGCUAACCCAUGAACUGGCAUACUAUUAAGAAACUAAUUUAUAAUAUAUUAAAUAGCUAGUUAUGCUAUGCAGAAAUAAAAUCAUGACAAAAUCUGGGGAAAAUAUAAUACAAAUACAAUUUAUAAUCUGGUAAAACUGAAGAGAGAACUGAAAUUAAAUGACUGACUCUGAGUGACACCUAUGAAGCCUCUACUAUAAUAACUGUAGAUAGCAGGGACAUGACUCCAGCUACCAUUAAUCAAUACAUAUGAGUAAUAAAGAAAAGUACAUGAACAACACCUGGCUGAAGUCCCUAAAGUAGGAGAACUCAUCACUUGUUGCCUGGAAAACUGCAACUGUCUAAUCAUGAUGUGUGGACUACAAUUGGUACCUAUAUUAUUAAACAAUGUAGCCACAAAGAUGUAUAUGCAGAUCAGUACUUUUGAAAUAUACUGAGUAAGCUGGGGUAAAUGCAAUCAGUAAAACUGAUUUUAUAUGAAAUGUUAAAGCAUGUAUGCUAAGUGUAAGUUGACUUAACAAGAGACUAAAAUAGACUAAAAGAUGAAAUAUCUUAAAACAUAAAUAGUAACAUAAUCUAAUAAGCUAGUGAAUCAGUACACUUAGUUUCUUAAAACAUUACUUUUAUAAUAUGAGUAGAACGGAAGCUGGACGACAGUAAAACAUGGAUACUGUAUGAAUACUAGGUUAUGUAAGACUGAACUGUACUUCGUCUAAAUAACUGGACUAAAAUUGUAGAGUACUAUGCAUAUAAGUUAAGGACUAACUGAGCAACAUGAGCUAACUAAGCAUGAAUGCGUGAAAACUCUAUUAUCUAAGAAUGCAAUACUAAGUGUAUAUCUAUUAUUUUACUAUGAUAAAUCUAAAAUUUGAAAGAUUGAAAGCUGUAAAAUUGAGUAUCUAAAAGUCUGUACACUUAUUCAAGCAAACCUGAACUGAAAAUACAAUGAAUAUUGACUGAUACUUUGGGAGCUAUAAUGUAACCAACAUAAACUAUGUGAGCUAUUAUGGAGUUCAACAUCUGACCUACGUUGUGAAGGGUUGUUCUAUCCUUGCCAUCAGAAUAGAACUUGAACUGUAGUGAUCACUAAACUAAUGUCCCAAAAGACUGGGGAGUCAAGCCUAAACUGAAGGGUGACCCCUCAAAUACUAUGCUGGAUAUAUAGUUCUGGAACACCGGGACUGCUACUAACGAAUCUGCCUAACAGAUGUGUUAGCCGCCAUCCCUGCAUUCGCUCGGUGCUAAAUCCUUCUCCCAAAUAAAAGACAUUGAAAUACUAACUAGUGCAUGCACUGAUAACUGAUAACUGAUAAGCUCAGGUCAUGGUAUUCUAAAAAUAGCAUGCAUUCUGCUUCUAGAUAAUUAUUAACAUAUAAACUGAUAAUGCUCAUCAUGAAUAUGAAUAUCUGACUAUACUGGUAAGAUUCAUAGAUUAACUGUCUGAGUACUUGGAAAGCUAAAUUUGUGUAAAUUAGAUAGGUAUCAGGUGUUCAUAACCCACCAACACUGAAUAGAUAUAAAAUAUGAUAUCAAACUUGAAAUACUAUAUUAAGUGAUUAUGGUUCAAAGACCCAAACAUGGAAUUUAAUCAAACACGUGAAGAUCAUGACUUUAAACAUGAGAAUUCUUUUUAAUAUGAGAAAAUAGAAUGAUUACAUAAUUAAAAUCAUAAAUUAGUGAUUUAUUCUGAAUCAACUGAACAUGAUAUAGGAACUAUAAUAUUUAAAACAUUUUGUAACUCAUUCCACUUGAAAACACUUAUAAUCUUAACUAGAAAUUGAAUUAACAAGAGAUUCAUGAAGAUAGUUCAACAUAAACAUGAAAAGCUCAGAGUUUAAAACAGAAAAAGGGUUUUAGGGCUCCAUGGGUGAAAGAGGACCCAUGGAUGAACUCCCACAUACCUUAAGAUUCUUAAAUUGGGAAAGAAACGCCAUUUUUGAAGCUUCCUUGAAGAUUCUUGAACUUGGGAAACUUGGAUUCUUGAUUUCUUGGGGAAAAAGGAAUUGAAUUUGUUCUUGGGCAAAGGAAAUGAUUUUCUUAAGAGGAAAAUUGGGGAAGGAGGGCAAAAUUAUGCCCUAACUGAUGCCCAAAUCAUGUUAUGAACGAUUGGGUUGGGGGGGAUGACUCAAUUUCCCCUAAAUCAUUUAAACCAAAUAUUUUUAACUGGAAUGCGGAUUAAAGGCUCAUCACGUCGCAGUCUAAUCGUGGUGGCUUAGUGGUUCUGACAAAAAUGACAAUAACUUUUCGCUCGGGUAUUCGAUUAAUACCAAAUCGGUAUCAUUUGAAAGAUAAUUCAAAUAUAUACAGUUUGGUAGGUUUUGAUCUAAAAAAUUCCACAUAUAUCCAAAGUUUUAUACAUUCAAAGUUGACCCUUGUAGAAUUGAAUACCAACUUUUGGACGAAUCAAAGGCUCUUAGCUCAACAUUAUUCUAAGUGAUUUCUAUGAACAGUUAUCACCUAAUAAGCACUUCACAUGCUAGAAUAAUGAUCAUGACACAUUCAUUCAAAUUAUAAAUCAUGAACUGGAUAAAAACACCUUUACGGGGAUGCGAUGUAUGUGCCAAAGGGAAUGUCACCGCGUCGCAGCCCUAUUGCGGUUACUUUCUAGAUUCGUGAUCCAAACGUGACCCAAACAUUGUUUGAAAAAUCUAAAACUCCCUUGAGACAUACUUCUUACAUCCUUGAACAUGAAUUAAGUCAAAACUAAUAUCUCAGGGGUCAAGAAGACUAAAAUUAAAAUCCUCAAAGUUUAGGAGUAUUGAAAACGACUAAGUCCCCAAAACUUAGUGAAAAUUUCAAGACUUAAGCCCCUUAGGCAUGAAACUAAGAGCUUAAUUGAGAUACAAUUAGUAUGGGUUAUUACAAUAUCUCCCCCUUGGGAACAUUCAUCCUCAAAUAAGACUAGUUAGACUGAGAGUACUGAACUAAGGCAACUGCGAUCACAUACUAAACAUGCAUGACUAGGAACAUAAUUGCAUAUCUGAGUCUGAAACAUGAUACAUGAACUGAAUAUCAUAAACUGAACUAAUUUCUUAAAUACAAGUAAUGACAUCAGAAUAGUUAUAAGGCUGAGAUAGAAACGAGAGAGUCCAAUUAUGAGUAACCAUUAACUCCAGCUAGAUCUAGUUUCAUGGAGAAAAGAUGGGAGGUUUAGGACAUGAAAGCUCAGGGUAUUAAAACAUCUCCCCUUUGGGAUAGUGCAUCCCAUGAAUGAUACUGACUUGGUUUAAAUACUAAGGAAAGACUGAGAUAGUGCAUGAUGUACUUAUGAACUAAAGCAUGACUAAAUAUCUAAAUCUAAAUCAUGAUUCAUGAACUGAUCUGAAUUCAUAAUUUACAUGGAUACGAACAAAUUACCUCUUGGAAUAGCCAAACUUAUGAACUUCAAAUAGUAAGACUAGAUAGAAAGAUGGAAAACUGUAGGAAUUUAUCUGUCUAACUGCUAAACUGAAUUGCUGGCUAUACAGACUGAAUUAUGCUGAAAGCUUACACUCAACUAUACAUUCCACUUCAAAACUGCACUUCACUUAAGGCUAUUUAAAAUAUUCACAUGGGCACUAAUAACUCUGCCUACUGAAGUCUGAGCAGAACUAAAUUCUCUCACUAUGUUUAAGCCUACUCGAAUCUACAAAGUGCACACAUAAUAUUGUAAUACUAGUUUGAAUCAUGAAUUCGAUACACCCUGUGUUUUCACAACUCCUCAUCUCAUGAAUAAUUCUUAUUACCACUUCAACAACUAUACUCAACCUUUUACUAGACAUUUACUAACGUACAAUGCUUUCAUCCACAUAUAUACAACACGACAUUCAAGACUAUCUUUAUAACCACAUAUGCACUUCUAAACAAAAACCCAUAAAAUCAUAUUUCUCAUAUCCUCCAAACCUCUAUCAUUAACAAAUUUCAUGCGCUAUUCUUGAGAAAAUUACACACAUAAAAUUUUAACUAACCAUGACAUAUAUCAACACUUGUCCUUAAUCUUAAUUCACCCUUACAGUCUUAGCUAUAACAAGCAUACAACAAUCUUUCGUCAAUAAGAAAUAUUUACUCUCUCUCAUCUAAACAACAAUUCAUCAGUACUAUCUUAACCAGAGGAGAGGUCAUUGAAAGGUUAGAACAUGAGGACCUAAAGCAUAUAAGAAUAACUUUAACACAUAACUGAGGGCUGAAAAUAGAGUAUCAAUAAUAUGAAUUCAUCAAAGAGGUCUAAACUGACGACAUACAGCACAUAAAUUUAAAUUUCAUUGGUCUUUAAUAGUGUGUAAUGAGUACUUGGUACUGAGCAUGCUAUAAAGCAUAAGUACAUGAGUCAUGAGUUGUAUGUCCUGGGUUUGGAGUUUAUAAAUUCUUGGAACAUGAUUCGUACUGAUGAAUGAACUGGAACUCCUCAUACUAGAAACUAGAAGCAUACAUGAUUCCAUAAAAAGUGCAUGUAUAUGAGUAUUGAUCAUGGAUAUGACAUGUAAGGCAUGAGUAUAUAUCGUGAGGACUAAUGUACAAACUUCUUACAAAGAUAAGAAUGGGUCGGGUAUCUUUCUCCCUUACUAAUGUUCAAUAAUACUUUGGCAUCAUUGCUAGAACCUGAAAGCCUGACUUGGUUAUUUAUUCUAUCAUCUCCCCCUUAGCUUUAAGCCAUCACUAUAAUUCUAUGGACCUCUUUAAUAUAUUUAAACUGAACUGCAAUCACUUUACUAUAGAGUACGAGAUAUAACAAUACACAUAAAUAAUAAGCUCAACCUUAAAGACUACACCUAAAAGUGAAACUUCAUACUAGUAUUUCCUUCUGGGAUAUAACUUUAAACUUGAUAUAACCCAAAUGGUCAUCAUAAAAUAGAUUUAAACACUGGCUAACUUAGAAUCUUAAUAAGUAUCACCAUACAUAGAGUUCAAACUAUCAAGAAUUUUAAUACUACUUUCUAUUAGCUCAAUCUUUAAAGAUUCAAACUUAGAUUCUAAUACUAAACAUGGAUAUCCCCAAACCUUUAAUAAACCAUACUAAAUUUCUUCAUAUCCUACUAACAUCACAUCUAAACCAUGAGAAUAACUAUUAGACCAAUAAACCCAAUAUCAACAAUAUAUAAUUUCAAAUUAAUAAACUUAAAUUCUUGCAUGACUAUUUCAAGCCUAAUGAUUCACCUUUCAUAUGACUAGCCCCAUUAAUACAAAGUCUACUAAAUAUAGACAAGCACUAUCCCCACCAUUACUACUGUUAAACUUUUGGGUUCAUUCUUUCUAACUCUAGGUUAUAUGCUAUCAAAGGAUUCUGAGAAGGGAUCUAAAAGCACAUCUAAAUUUUGCUUAGUGCAAGAUUUUCAUGAACAUAAAUGAAGUCCUUCAAACUUUGGAACUUAAAAGCACUAAUGGGAUACUUUUGAGUCUAUGUGUAAUCUCAUAACUAUCUGUGGGGACUGUCUGAGAAACUCUAUUUGUAAGGAUUUAAGCUUGAAUAUUUCUAUUGCCUAAAGGAUAAAGAGGAUUUAGCAUGAAUAGAUUAAUAUAAGAGUCUUCAUAACUUCCUGAGAAAACAGCACUACUGCAUGAUCUGUGACAUAAAAAAAAGGGAAAUAUUUCUAUAAUUCACUAAAGCCUCUCAAAGAAAAAUACAGACAUCUUUGUAUCGUUCUGUAAGAAAAUAUUAGACACAACUUUAUAGACACCCUAUGAUGCUUGAACUCUGGGCUCUGAUACCAAGUUUUGUCAUGACCUGAGACUAUCCCCUAGUCAUAACACGGUGCUUGAAACUACAAGUGAUCCCAAGCUAACCCAUGAACUGGCAUACUAUUAAGCAACUAAUUUAUAAUAUAUUAGAUAGUUAGUUCUUAUGUUCAAAAAUACAACCAUGAUAAAAUAUGGGGAAAAUAUAAUACUAAUACAAUUUAAAACCUUAUAAAACUAAAGAAAGAACUAAAAUUAAAUGACUGACUCUGACUCACAUCAAUAAAGCCUCUACUAAACUGACUAUAGAUAGUUGGGACUUAACUAUAGUUACCACUAAUCAAUACAUAUGAGUAAUAAAGUAAAGUACAUGAACAACCUAUUACUGAAGUCCCCGAAGUAGAAGAACUCAUCACAUGUUGCCUAAAAAUGGCAAUUGUUUGAUCAUGACAUAUGGGCUAUAAUUCAUACCUAUAUUAUGAAAAGAUGUAGCCACAUAGACGUAUAUAUGGAUUAGUUCUUCUAUUAUGUACUAAGUAAGCAGGGGUGAAUGUAAUAAGUAAACUGAUUUUAUAUGAAAUCUUAAAGUAUGCAUGCUAAGUGUAAGUAGACUCACUAAGAGACUAAAGUAGACUAAAAGUUUAAAUAUCUUAAAACAUUAGUACUAAUAUAAUCUUAUAAGCUGGUGAAUCACUAAACUCAAAUUUUUAAAACUUUACUUUUAUAAUAUAGGUAGAACUAAAGUUAAAAGACCAUAAAACAUGGUAUUGUAUGAAUACUGGGUUAUAUAAGAUUGAACUGUACUUAGUCUGAAUAACUAUACUGAAACUAUGGAGUAAUACACAUAUAAGGUAAGGACUAACUAAAUAAUAUGAGAUAACUUAACAUGAAAUCAUGAAAAUUAUAUUAUCUGAGAAUGCAAGACUAACAUUAUAUCUAUUAUGUUACUGAGAUAAAUCUGAAAUCUAAAAGACUAAAAGCUAUAAAACUAAGCAUCUAAAAUUUUGUACACUUAGUCAAGUACACCUGAAGUAAAAGUACACUAAAUAUUGACUAAGAGUGUGAGAGCUAUCAUGCAACUAACAUAAACCAUGGAAGCUAUCAUAAAGUCCAACGUCUGACCCACAUUGAGAAGAUCUAUUUUAUCCUUGCCAUCAAAAUAGAACCUGAA
This is a long non-coding RNA of Capsicum annuum, 20000 nucleotides long. RefSeq lists it as uncharacterized. The transcript has 3 exons. Lineage: Eukaryota; Viridiplantae; Streptophyta; Magnoliopsida; Solanales; Solanaceae. The record is from RefSeq and is a predicted model, not a curated record.